RNAcentral lists this ribosomal RNA (405 nucleotides) under uncultured bacterium. Its description in RNAcentral is "partial 16S ribosomal RNA". It matches the Rfam family "Bacterial small subunit ribosomal RNA", at positions 338 to 760 of the family's 1533-position model. The record is from RNAcentral.
CCUACGGGAGGCAGCAGUAGGGAAUGUUGCGCAAUGGGCGAAAGCCUGACGCAGCAACGCCGCGUGAACGAGACGCACUUCGGGGUGUAAAGGUCUGUCAGUGGGGACGAAAAAUGACGGUACCCACAGAGGAAGCACCGGCUAACUCCGUGCCAGCAGCCGCGGUAAUACGGAGGGUGCAAGCGUUGUCCGGAAUCAUUGGGCGUAAAGAGUUCGUAGGCGGCAUGUAAAGUCAGGUGUUAAAGGCGCAGGCUCAACCUGUGUAUGGCACUUGAUACUUGCAAGCUGGAUUGCGGUAGUGGUAACUGGAAUUCCUGGUGUAGCGGUGACAUGCUUAGCUCUCAGGAGGAACAUCGGUGGCGUACGCGCUUUACUGGGCCGUACUUGACGCUGCGGUACGACAGC